Molecule: ribosomal RNA, 253 nt
Filed under: uncultured bacterium
Lineage: Bacteria
Description: partial 16S ribosomal RNA
Rfam family: Bacterial small subunit ribosomal RNA
Source: RNAcentral
UACGAGAGGCCCAACCGUUAUUCGGAUUUACUGGGCUUAAAGAGUUCGUAGGCGGCUUGGAAAGUGGGGUGUGAAAGCCCUCGGCUCAACCGAGGCAGUGCAUUCGAAACUACUGAGCUUGAAUACUGGAGAGGAUCGCGGAAUUCCCGGUGUAGAGGUGAAAUUCGUAGAUAUCGGGAGGAACACCAGUGGCGAAGGCGGCGAUCUGGACAGAUAUUGACGCUGAGGUGCGAAAGCGUGGGGAGCAAACAGG